AGUAACACGUGGAUAACCUACCUAUAAGACUGGGAUAACUUCGGGAAACCGGAGCUAAUACCGGAUAAUAUUUUGAACCGCAUGGUUCAAAAGUGAAAGACGGUCUUGCUGUCACUUAUAGAUGGAUCCGCGCUGCAUUAGCUAGUUGGUAAGGUAACGGCUUACCAAGGCAACGAUGCAUAGCCGACCUGAGAGGGUGAUCGGCCAUACUGGAACUGAGACACGGUCCAG
RNAcentral lists this ribosomal RNA (231 nucleotides) under uncultured Staphylococcus sp. RNAcentral describes it as "partial 16S ribosomal RNA". It matches the Rfam family "Bacterial small subunit ribosomal RNA", at positions 109 to 334 of the family's 1533-position model. The record is from RNAcentral. Lineage: Bacteria; Bacillati; Bacillota; Bacilli; Caryophanales; Staphylococcaceae.